RNAcentral lists this microRNA precursor (86 nucleotides) under Chlorocebus sabaeus (green monkey). Its description in RNAcentral is "miRNA (ENSCSAG00000027975.1)". The record is from RNAcentral. Lineage: Eukaryota; Metazoa; Chordata; Mammalia; Primates; Cercopithecidae.
CAUUCCUUUUUAUGACUGAGUAGUAUGUGUGUGUGUGUAUAUAUAUAUGUAUACACACACACACACACACACACACACACAUCACA